Molecule: ribosomal RNA, 1405 nt
Filed under: Massilia sp. II_Gauze_A_4_9
Lineage: Bacteria; Pseudomonadati; Pseudomonadota; Betaproteobacteria; Burkholderiales; Oxalobacteraceae
Description: bacterial SSU rRNA
Rfam family: Bacterial small subunit ribosomal RNA
Source: RNAcentral
ACAUGCAAGUCGAACGGUAACAGGGAGCUUGCUCCGCUGACGAGUGGCGAACGGGUGAGUAAUAUAUCGGAACGUACCCAAGAGUGGGGGAUAACGUAGCGAAAGUUACGCUAAUACCGCAUACGAUCUAAGGAUGAAAGCAGGGGAUCUUCGGACCUUGUGCUCCUGGAGCGGCCGAUAUCUGAUUAGCUAGUUGGUGAGGUAAAGGCUCACCAAGGCGACGAUCAGUAGCUGGUCUGAGAGGACGACCAGCCACACUGGAACUGAGACACGGUCCAGACUCCUACGGGAGGCAGCAGUGGGGAAUUUUGGACAAUGGGCGCAAGCCUGAUCCAGCAAUGCCGCGUGAGUGAAGAAGGCCUUCGGGUUGUAAAGCUCUUUUGUCAGGGAAGAAACGGUGGAUGGCUAAUAUCCUUCACUAAUGACGGUACCUGAAGAAUAAGCACCGGCUAACUACGUGCCAGCAGCCGCGGUAAUACGUAGGGUGCAAGCGUUAAUCGGAAUUACUGGGCGUAAAGCGUGCGCAGGCGGUUUUGUAAGUCUGUCGUGAAAUCCCCGGGCUCAACCUGGGAAUUGCGAUGGAGACUGCAAGGCUAGAAUCUGGCAGAGGGGGGUAGAAUUCCACGUGUAGCAGUGAAAUGCGUAGAGAUGUGGAGGAACACCGAUGGCGAAGGCAGCCCCCUGGGUCAAGAUUGACGCUCAUGCACGAAAGCGUGGGGAGCAAACAGGAUUAGAUACCCUGGUAGUCCACGCCCUAAACGAUGUCUACUAGUUGUCGGGUUUUAAUUAACUUGGUAACGCAGCUAACGCGUGAAGUAGACCGCCUGGGGAGUACGGUCGCAAGAUUAAAACUCAAAGGAAUUGACGGGGACCCGCACAAGCGGUGGAUGAUGUGGAUUAAUUCGAUGCAACGCGAAAAACCUUACCUACCCUUGACAUGUACGGAAGCCACGAGAGAUCGAGGUGUGCUCGAAAGAGAGCCGUAACACAGGUGCUGCAUGGCUGUCGUCAGCUCGUGUCGUGAGAUGUUGGGUUAAGUCCCGCAACGAGCGCAACCCUUGUCAUUAGUUGCUACAUUUAGUUGAGCACUCUAAUGAGACUGCCGGUGACAAACCGGAGGAAGGUGGGGAUGACGUCAAGUCCUCAUGGCCCUUAUGGGUAGGGCUUCACACGUCAUACAAUGGUACAUACAGAGGGCCGCCAACCCGCGAGGGGGAGCUAAUCCCAGAAAGUGUAUCGUAGUCCGGAUCGCAGUCUGCAACUCGACUGCGUGAAGUUGGAAUCGCUAGUAAUCGCGGAUCAGCAUGUCGCGGUGAAUACGUUCCCGGGUCUUGUACACACCGCCCGUCACACCAUGGGAGCGGGUUUUACCAGAAGUAGGUAGCUUAACCGCAAGGAGGGCGCU